This 497-nucleotide ribosomal RNA is filed under the name uncultured bacterium. RNAcentral describes it as "partial 16S ribosomal RNA". It matches the Rfam family "Bacterial small subunit ribosomal RNA", at positions 28 to 507 of the family's 1533-position model. The record is from RNAcentral.
GAUGAACGCUGGCGGCGUGCCUAAUACAUGCAAGUCGAGCGAACGGACGAGAAGCUUGCUUCUCUGAUGUUAGCGGCGGACGGGUGAGUAACACGUGGAUAACCUACCUAUAAGACUGGGAUAACUUCGGGAAACCGGAGCUAAUACCGGAUAAUAUUUUGAACCGCAUGGUUCAAAAGUGAAAGACGGUCUUGCUGUCACUUAUAGAUGGAUCCGCGCUGCAUUAGCUAGUUGGUAAGGUAACGACUUACCAAGGCAACGAUGCAUAGCCGACCUGAGAGGGUGAUCGGCCACACUGGAACUGAGACACGGUCCAGACUCCUACGGGAGGCAGCAGUAGGGAAUCUUCCGCAAUGGGCGAAAGCCUAACGGAGCAACGCCGCGUGAGUGAUGAAGGUCUUCGGAUCGUAAAACUCUGUUAUUAGGGAAGAACAUAUGUGUAAGUAACUGUGCACAUCUUGACGGUACCUAAUCAGAAAGCCACGGCUAACUACGUG